RNAcentral lists this unclassified non-coding RNA (227 nucleotides) under plant metagenome. RNAcentral's name for it is "partial contains small subunit ribosomal RNA and internal transcribed spacer 1". The stretch from base 1 to 46 matches the Rfam family "Eukaryotic small subunit ribosomal RNA", at positions 1786 to 1831 of the family's 1831-position model. The record is from RNAcentral.
AAGUCGUAACAAGGUUUCCGUAGGUGAACCUGCGGAAGGAUCAUUAAAAGAGAUAGGGGUCUUCAUGGGCCCGACCUCCAACCCUCUGUUGUUUAACUACUUGUUGCUUGGCGGGACCGUCUCGGUCUCCGAGCGCCAACCCUCGGGUUGGUGAGCGCCCGCCAGAGUCCAACCAAACUCUUGUUUAAACCAGUCGUCUGAGUAUAAAAUUUUAAUUAAAUUAAAAA